This 597-nucleotide ribosomal RNA is filed under the name Klebsiella sp. L1.111. RNAcentral describes it as "bacterial SSU rRNA". It matches the Rfam family "Bacterial small subunit ribosomal RNA", at positions 835 to 1432 of the family's 1533-position model. The record is from RNAcentral. Lineage: Bacteria; Pseudomonadati; Pseudomonadota; Gammaproteobacteria; Enterobacterales; Enterobacteriaceae.
AGGCGUGGCUUCCGGAGCUAACGCGUUAAAUCGACCGCCUGGGGAGUACGGCCGCAAGGUUAAAACUCAAAUGAAUUGACGGGGGCCCGCACAAGCGGUGGAGCAUGUGGUUUAAUUCGAUGCAACGCGAAGAACCUUACCUGGUCUUGACAUCCACAGAACUUUCCAGAGAUGGAUUGGUGCCUUCGGGAACUGUGAGACAGGUGCUGCAUGGCUGUCGUCAGCUCGUGUUGUGAAAUGUUGGGUUAAGUCCCGCAACGAGCGCAACCCUUAUCCUUUGUUGCCAGCGGUUCGGCCGGGAACUCAAAGGAGACUGCCAGUGAUAAACUGGAGGAAGGUGGGGAUGACGUCAAGUCAUCAUGGCCCUUACGACCAGGGCUACACACGUGCUACAAUGGCAUAUACAAAGAGAAGCGACCUCGCGAGAGCAAGCGGACCUCAUAAAGUAUGUCGUAGUCCGGAUUGGAGUCUGCAACUCGACUCCAUGAAGUCGGAAUCGCUAGUAAUCGUAGAUCAGAAUGCUACGGUGAAUACGUUCCCGGGCCUUGUACACACCGCCCGUCACACCAUGGGAGUGGGUUGCACAAGAAGUAGGUA